This is a long non-coding RNA of Clupea harengus (Atlantic herring), 1473 nucleotides long. Lineage: Eukaryota; Metazoa; Chordata; Actinopteri; Clupeiformes; Clupeidae. The record is from Ensembl.
UGCCAGAAUAACCCGUUGGUUUCUACACCUACAGGACUUUAAGUUUACAGUGGAACACAGAGCCGGAAGACUGCAUGGGAACGCUGAUGCCAUGUCAAGAAGGGACGACUGCCUGUGGUCUGCCGCUCCCCACCGUGGUUCGGAGCUGAGGGGGGGGGUAUGUGAUGGCCCAGCCGGUGAGCAGUGCCCCACAUGGCUGAGUGCAGCCAAACGAAGGCGAUUAAGAGGCAUGGUGUUGGAUGGGCGGUACUACCCCAGAGGUUUCUCAUAGGGAACUCCUCCCCACCCAGGUGUCUCUGGUUGUCCCUCCCAGGUGCACUCAAUCAAUCAGGCAAUCAGGAGCCUUUUUAAACUCAACCAGAGGAUACGGAAGCCAGACUGUCUUGCGCUACAGAGGAGUGAGAACCAGACGCCUUCCAAGACAGUCUCAGGGUAAGAGGCCCGCGGCCUGCUAUAUAUAUUACUGAAGACGAGUAAUCGCUCUCUAUCUCUCUCUUGUCUCAGGGAAGAGCCCGACGGAGCCCCUGACGCCAACGGCCAGACCGGUGAAGAUUUCUGAGUUACCUUUUUGCGCCCCCUCCCUUUUCCCCCUUCAGUUUGUACAAUAAACCUAAGUUCUGUUCACCGCAACUCCUGUGUCUGACUUCUCUUUUUCCACUUUGUGUACCCACUGUUUGCCCUUGCAAGGCCAGGCUCCCACAAUAUCUACAUUCAUAUUCAUGAAAUUUCUGUCUCAGAUAAUGAAUCGUAGUUGUAUCAUAUAUGAAAUGAAAAAAAAUAGAGUUGCCUGUUUCUGUUAAUAGAGACUAUCUUAACUAAGACUAGUUAAGAUCUAUUUUAUAAGACUAACUGAAUUAUCAGCUGUAAGCACUAAGUUGUGAUAGGUUGUGAUUGCUUAAUUGUUGUGGCUUGGUCAUGGGUAUGUCGUAUCUGUCACACAUGCUUUUGCCGCGUGUCGUCAUCAACAGCAGACAUUACGAGCAGAAGUCACAACAACAGCAGGUUCGAUCACGCCUGUUUUUAUUUGUCUACUCCUCCAUCAUAUUCAUGAAGAACAUGAAGGUGCAGCUGUUGAGUGCAGUGGUGAUGACCAAUGUCAAAGUGGCACAUCCUAAUUACAUACACAUCAGCCAUACAUGUCAAAUAUCCUCUCUUUGGUCCCCUUCUCUUUUUUUUCUUUUUCUCAGCAUGUCUAAUUGCUGCAGAAGAGGAGCCUUUCAGUCAUAAUUAUGUACCUGCUUAUUACACGAGGAAUAUGCCAACCCCCUAAUUUAUGCCAUAAUGCCCUGAAGAUAUUGAAGUUUAAAUGCCUGCAGUUUGAGUCAUUUGAUAAGGUGUUUGCCAUGGACACUUUACUGCUGAGGUGCCUUGUAACUAUGUUCAAUAUUAUAAUAUGGGGAGGUCACGUGUUAUUUACAGUUUCUAGGUAUAUCACAUGAUACAGCAUAACACAGCACACCAAAACACAACACA